GCAGACAUGGAGUAAAUGAUCUCCAAUCCCCAACAAAUGCUGAGGAGCUACUGCCAGUGCAUAGUGCCUGGGAGACAGACAAGCAUUCCUUGGCUUUUUCAUCCAAAAUAUGGAAAAAUCUUCAGGAUUAUUUCUGUGCUAUUAAUACGUCUAUCCUUGAAACACAAACAGCAAUGCCUGCCCUAAAUUAGGCACAGUUCACUGGGACGAUCUCAGAAGACAUUGGAAAGGAAAGUGUCACAGGAACAAGUGAGAAAGAAAACAAACUGUCCGCAGAUCUAAAAGUAGAUGUUUGCUGUUUAGUGUUGGAUUUCUCUUGCAAGCAGAAAUGGAGGGUACUUUGUAAACAUACUUUCAAUGAAGAUAGAGGUUUUCUUAAUGCCAGAGAUGAGAAAAAAAUCAAGACAGAGAAAACAGCAAUAAAG
Myodes glareolus (Bank vole) is the source of this 425-nucleotide non-coding RNA. The record is from RefSeq and is a predicted model, not a curated record. Lineage: Eukaryota; Metazoa; Chordata; Mammalia; Rodentia; Cricetidae.